UUAACACAUGCAAGUCGAGGGGCAGCAUGGUCUUAGCUUGCUAAGGCCGAUGGCGACCGGCGCACGGGUGAGUAACGCGUAUCCAACCUGCCUUACACUCUUGGACAGCCUUCUGAAAGGGAGAUUAAUACAAGAUGUUAUCAUGAGUAAGCAUUUUCGCAUGAUUAAAGGUUUACCGGUGUAAGAUGGGGAUGCGUUCCAUUAGAUAGUAGGCGGGGUAACGGCCCACCUAGUCUUCGAUGGAUAGGGGUUCUGAGAGGAAGGUCCCCCACAUUGGAACUGAGACACGGUCCAAACUCCUACGGGAGGCAGCAGUGAGGAAUAUUGGUCAAUGGACGAGAGUCUGAACCAGCCAAGUAGCGUGAAGGAUGAAGGUUCUAUGGAUUGUAAACUUCUUUUAUACGGGAAUAAACGAAUCCACGUGUGGAUUUUUGCAUGUACCGUAUGAAUAAGGAUCGGCUAACUCCGUGCCAGCAGCCGCGGUAAUACGGAGGAUCCGAGCGUUAUCCGGAUUUAUUGGGUUUAAAGGGAGCGUAGAUGGGUUGUUAAGUCAGUUGUGAAAGUUUGCGGCUCAACCGUAAAAUUGCAAUUGAUACUGGCAGUCUUGAGUACAGUUGAGGUAGGCGGAAUUCGUGGUGUAGCGGUGAAAUGCUUAGAUAUCACGAAGAACUCCGAUUGCGAAGGCAGCUUACUAACCUGUAACUGACAUUGAUGCUCGAAAGUGUGGGUAUCAAACAGGAUUAGACACCCUGGUAGUCCACACGGUAAACGAUGAAUACUCGCUGUAGGCGAUAUACAGUCUGCGGCCAAGCGAAAGCAUUAAGUAUUCCACCUGGGGAGUACGCCGGCAACGGUGAAACUCAAAGGAAUUGACGGGGGCCCGCACAAGCGGAGGAACAUGUGGUUUAAUUCGAUGAUACGCGAGGAACCUUACCCGGGCUUAAAUUGCAACCGAAUAUGGCGGAAACGCUAUAGCUAGCAAUAGCGGUUGUGAAGGUGCUGCAUGGUUGUCGUCAGCUCGUGCCGUGAGGUGUCGGCUUAAGUGCCAUAACGAGCGCAACCCUUGCCGAUAGUUACUAACAGGUCAUGCUGAGGACUCUGUCGGGACUGCCAUCGUAAGAUGUGAGGAAGGUGGGGAUGACGUCAAAUCAGCACGGCCCUUGCGUCCGGGGCUACACACGUGUUACAAUGGGGGGUACAGAGGGCUGCUACCACGCAGGUGGAUGCCAAUCCCAAAAACCUCUCUCAGUUCGGAUUGAAGUCUGCAACCCGACUUCAUGAAGCUGGAUUCGCUAGUAAUCGCGCAUCAGCCACGGCGCGGUGAAUACGUUCCCGGGCCUUGUACACACCGCCCGUCAAGCCAUGGGAGCCGGGGGUACCUGAAGUGCGUAACCGCAAGGAGCGCCCUAGGGUAAAACUGGUGACUGGGGCUAAGUCAUAA
This 1441-nucleotide ribosomal RNA is filed under the name uncultured organism. RNAcentral's name for it is "SSU rRNA". It matches the Rfam family "Bacterial small subunit ribosomal RNA". The record is from RNAcentral.